This 1394-nucleotide ribosomal RNA is filed under the name endophytic bacterium. RNAcentral describes it as "partial 16S ribosomal RNA". The record is from RNAcentral.
CUCUCCGAAGGUUAAGCUAACCACUUCUGGUGCAGUCCACUCCCAUGGUGUGACGGGCGGUGUGUACAAGGCCGGGAACGUAUUCACCGUGGCAUUCUGAUCCACGAUUACUAGCGAUUCCGACUUCACGGAGUCGAGUUGCAGACUCCGAUCCGGACUGAGGCCGGCUUUAUGGGAUUGGCUUCACGUCGCCGCUUCGCAACCCUUUGUACCGGCCAUUGUAGCACGUGUGUAGCCCUGCUCGUAAGGGCCAUGAUGACUUGACGUCGUCCCCACCUUCCUCCGGUUUGUCACCGGCAGUCUCCCUGAAGUUCCCGGCCGGACCGCUGGCAAAAAGGGAUAGGGGUUGCGCUCGUUACGGGACUUAACCCAACAUUUCACAACACGAGCUGACGACAGCCAUGCAGCACCUGUCUCUGCGUUCCCGAAGGCACUUUCCCAUCUCUGGGAAAUUCGCAGGAUGUCAAGAGCAGGUAAGGUUCUUCGCGUUGCAUCGAAUUAAACCACAUGCUCCACCGCUUGUGCGGGCCCCCGUCAAUUCAUUUGAGUUUUAGCCUUGCGGCCGUACUCCCCAGGCGGUCGACUUAUUGCGUUAACUGCGCCACCAAACCCUCAAGGGGUCCAACGGCUGGUCGACAUCGAUUACGGCGUGGACUACCAGGGUAUCUAAUCCUGUUUGCUACCCACGCUUUCGCGCCUCAWCGUCAGUGUCAGUCCAGAAGGCCGCCUUCKCCACUGGKAUUCCUCCCGAUCUCUACGCAUUUCACCGCUACACCGGGAAUUCCACCUUCCUCUCUGCACUCUAGCCUGCCAGUUCAGAAUGCCGUUCCCGGGUUGAGCCCGGGGCUUUCACAUCCGGCUUGGCAAGCCGCCUACGCGCCCUUUAAGCCCAGUAAUUCCGAUUAACGCUUGCACCCUCCGUAUUACCGCGGCUGCUGGCACGGAGUUAGCCGGUGCUUCUUGUGUGGGUGAUGUCCUUCAUGGUGGUUAUUAACCACCAUGCCUUCUUCCCCACUGAAAGUGCUUUACAACCCGAAGGCCUUCUUCACACACGCGGCAUGGCUGGAUCAGGGUUUCCCCCAUUGUCCAAUAUUCCCCACUGCUGCCUCCCGUAGGAGUCCGGGCCGUGUCUCAGUCCCGGUGUGGCUGAUCAUCCUCUCAGACCAGCUACGGAUCGUUGCCUUGGUGAGCCGUUACCUCACCAACAAGCUAAUCCGACAUGGGCUCAUCCGAUAGCGCAAGGUCCGAAGAUCCCCUGCUUUCUCCCGUAGGACGUAUGCGGUAUUAGCUCGGGUUUCCCCGAGUUAUCCCCCACUACCGGGCAGAUACCCAUGCAUUACUCACCCGUCCGCCGCUCGUCAGCGGGUAGCAAGCUACCCCUGUUACCGCUCGAC